RNAcentral lists this non-coding RNA (116 nucleotides) under uncultured Arthrobacter sp. RNAcentral describes it as "S-adenosyl methionine (SAM) riboswitch". It matches the Rfam family "SAM (S-adenosyl methionine) riboswitch aptamer". Rfam says of the family: SAM-IV is a mRNA element that regulates gene expression via direct sensing of S-adenosylmethionine (SAM or AdoMet). SAM-IV riboswitches share conserved nucleotide positions with the previously described SAM-I riboswitches sequence analysis and molecular recognition experiments suggest that SAM-I and SAM-IV riboswitches share similar ligand binding sites, but have different scaffolds. The record is from RNAcentral. Lineage: Bacteria; Bacillati; Actinomycetota; Actinomycetes; Micrococcales; Micrococcaceae.
GGUCAUGAGUGCCAGCAGAUAGCCCCGGCUUGCUGGCCGGCAACCCUCCAACCGCGGUGGGGUGCCCCGGGUGAAGACCUGGCUGGACAUCAAAAGGAUGUCACGGCAAGCGCGGG